UCACAGUUUACACUGGCAGUCUUGUUAGAGUUCCCGACUUGACUCGCUGGCAACUAACAACAGGGGUUGCGCUCUUUAUAGGACUUAACCUGACACCUCACGGCACGAGCUGACGACAACCAUGCAGCACCUUGUAAAUUGUCCGAAGAAAAGUCUGUUUCCAAACCUGUCAAUCUACAUUUAAGCCUUGGUAAGGUUCCUCGCGUAUCAUCGAAUUAAACCACAUGCUCCACCGCUUGUGCGGGCCCCCGUCAAUUCCUUUGAGUUUCAUUCUUGCGAACGUACUCCCCAGGCGGGGCACUUAAUGCGUUAGCGGCGGCACGGGAGGAGUCGACACCUCCCACACCUAGUGCCCAUCGUUUACAGCGUGGACUAC
This 376-nucleotide unclassified non-coding RNA is filed under the name uncultured Flavobacteriaceae bacterium. RNAcentral's name for it is "contains 16S-23S intergenic spacer region". The record is from RNAcentral. Lineage: Bacteria; Pseudomonadati; Bacteroidota; Flavobacteriia; Flavobacteriales; Flavobacteriaceae.